Non-coding RNA from Penaeus vannamei (Pacific white shrimp), 2812 nucleotides. Lineage: Eukaryota; Metazoa; Arthropoda; Malacostraca; Decapoda; Penaeidae. The record is from RefSeq and is a predicted model, not a curated record.
CCGAGGGAAACAUGCAAGCUUGCGUCGCAGUUAAGACCCAACCCGUGUGUCUUUGCAUGCAACACCCGACUUAAUUCUUGCAAAACCAGGUCGUAUUUGCUCGCACCCAGUGACGCCCUGUGAGAUCCCGCUCUGCCCGGGAGUGUUGGUAUCACUGUCCGAGAGGAAACAUGUCUGCCGCUGUAGUAAACAACGUUGGCGUGAAGCCCGAAGAAAAACACCAAAAUGAGGAGGAAAAUGCAGAGGACGUAGAUGACAUAGUGGACGGGACGGCGCCCGAGGAGGCCAAGAAGAAGAAGAAAAAGAAAAACAAGAAGAAGGCCGCUGGCGGUGCAGGGUCAGUAAAUGUUCCAGAUGGAGCGGAGGACUUGGCAGAGAAGCUAGAAGCCACAACCUGAAAGAUGGCAAGCCUGAAGCAGAAGAAGGGGGAAGUUCUGCUACCAAGAAGAAGAAUAAAAAGAAGAAGAAGGCAUCAGGGGAAGGUGGCUCUGAGGAAGGGGAAAACAAAGCUGGGUUGGUAAAUGGAACAGCUGACUUGGCAGAUAAGAUGAAGAAAACAGAAAAGCCUGAAGGGGAAGAGGAGGGAAGCUCUUCUAACAAAAAGAAGAAUAAAAAGAAGAAGAAGAAGACUGCAGGACAAGGAGCUGAGGAGGAAGGUGAACAAGAGGAGAAAGAAGAAAAGCAAAUAGCUGAUGGUGAAGAAGAGGGUAGUACUGCUGCCAAGAAGAAAAACAAAAAGAAGAAGAAGAAGAACCAGGGACAAGGAGGUGAAACAGAAGAGAUUGAGGAGCCCAAAGAGGAAGAAGAGGAGGAAGCAUCUGCAAAAAAUAAGAAGAAUAAAAACAAGAAGAAGAAGAAGGCACCAGGGCAAGAAGUGGAGAUGGAAGAAGAGGAGCCAGUAGCCAAAGAAGAGGGCCCUAAAGUACAAACUGACCCUCCAACUGUUCCUAUUGUGGAUCUUUAUCCUGAUGGCAACCUCCCCAUUGGUGAGAUCUGUGAAUACAAGAUCAACAAAGAUGACCGCAGUGCCAUUAACCGCAUGAACUCGGAUGAGAAGAAGGCUCUUGAGACCUCCUUCGAAGAGAUGUACCGUGAAAUCCGUAUUGGCGCUGAAGUCCAUCGCACGACUCGCAAGUAUUUCAAGGAAAACGUGAAACCGGGAAUGUCCAUGAUAGAGAUUUGCCACAUGAUUGAGGAAACCAACCGGAAACUCAUCAAAGAGAAUGGGUUGAAGGCUGGCUUAGCCUUCCCUACUGGCUGCUCCAUCAACCACUGUGCGGCUCACUACACCCCCAACUCAGGCGAUAAGACGGUCCUCAACUAUGAUGACGUAUGCAAGAUAGAUUAUGGAAUCCAUAUCAAUGGUCGUGUGAUCGACUGCGCUUUCACACUAACCUUCAACGAUAGAUACAAUAACCUUGUGGAGGCUGUGCGUGCAGCAACCAACACUGGCAUCAGGGAAGCUGGCAUUGAUGCAAGGCUCUGCGACAUUGGUGCUGCCAUUCAGGAGACGAUGGAAAGUUACGAGAUUGAGCUGAAUGGCAAGACAUAUCCAAUCAAAUGCAUCCGCAAUCUCAAUGGCCAUUCGAUAGCACCUUACAGGAUCCACGCUGGAAAGACGGUCCCAAUUGUCAAAGGAGGAGAAGCAGAAAUCAUGGAGGAAAAUGAAGUGUAUGCCAUUGAAACUUUUGGUUCCACUGGUCGUGGUUAUGUGCACGAUGACAUGGAAACCUCACAUUACAUGAAGAACUACGAUGCUGGACACGUUCCUCUCAGGCUGGCCAAGUCCAAACACCUGCUUAAUGUAAUUAAUCAGAACUUCGGCACUUUGGCCUUUUGCCGCCGUUGGCUGGAUCGCCUUGGAGAAAGCAAGUACCUGAUGGCUCUCAAGGAUCUCUGUGAGAAGGGGAUUAUUGACCCAUACCCUCCACUCUGUGAUGUGAAGGGCUGUUAUACAGCUCAGUUUGAGCACACGAUAGUCCUUCGGCCUACCUGCAAAGAGGUUGUAACUCGUGGAGAUGAUUACUAACUCUCGUCUGAAAAGGUUGUUCCCCCACACUUAACUGGAGAUAGAAUUUCACUUCCUCGUUCUCUGUCCGAGGUAAAGGCAGAUUUGAAAGGGAUGUGAUAUGUGUUACAUAUAUAUUUUUUCAUCCUUUCAGUUGCUGAAUUAUGUGGCAUUAAAAGCACACUCUUUGUUUUCUUGAUUUAUAUAUAUUUUUUUCUCUUUUGGAUAUGCAAGUUCCUAAUCAUUUGUCAUCGAGUGUCACAAAAAGGACAUGGUGUCCAAGACUAGAGAGAUACAGCAAACUAACCCUUGUAAAAUUGCCUUUUUCAUGGAUCAAUACCAAUAUUAUGAUUAAAAAAAAAAAUAAUUUGUGUUUAUAGAGUGUGGGUGAUUUUGUUAAAAGUCUUGAUCAAUUGUUAAUUAGCAAAACAUUCAGAACUGCACUGUUAAUAUAGCCGCAAAAGGCUAGCAAGCAAGAAGGUAUAGAACUAUGGAAUAUUAAACACAAAUGCUGGGGAAGGUGAAAUGUAUUUGAACUAGAUAUUUAGUACAUUGUGAGAGAGAGAUGUAAUAACUGCACAACACUUGUUUGCAUUGCAUCGCCUUGCUGUUCACCUAUAACUGAGCUGCUAGUCUCCUAUGUUACUACUGUGAAUUAUUUGAAAAAUAUAAUCUAUCUACAGUUGCAUUUUCUAUCCUAUAAUUUUUCCAGCAAUAUAUUUUCUCCUUUGUAAUGGGGCACAAGAAGUCAUUUUUAUUCAGAUGUUUACAGUGAUAUAAUUAAAGAAAAAAAAGCAUAGUGUA